RNAcentral lists this ribosomal RNA (691 nucleotides) under uncultured Enterobacterales bacterium. RNAcentral describes it as "bacterial SSU rRNA". It matches the Rfam family "Bacterial small subunit ribosomal RNA", at positions 69 to 753 of the family's 1533-position model. The record is from RNAcentral. Lineage: Bacteria; Pseudomonadati; Pseudomonadota; Gammaproteobacteria; Enterobacterales.
CAGGAAGAAGCUUGCUUCUUUGCUGACGAGUGGCGGACGGGUGAGUAAUGUCUGGGAAACUGCCUGAUGGAGGGGGAUAACUACUGGAAACGGUAGCUAAUACCGCAUAACGUCGCAAGACCAAAGAGGGGGACCUUCGGGCCUCUUGCCAUCGGAUGUGCCCAGAUGGGAUUAGCUAGUAGGUGGGGUAACGGCUCACCUAGGCGACGAUCCCUAGCUGGUCUGAGAGGAUGACCAGCCACACUGGAACUGAGACACGGUCCGGACUCCUACGAGAGGCAGCAGUGGGGAAUAUCGCACAAUGGGCGCAAGCCUGAUGCAGCCAUGCCGCGUGUAUGAAGAAGGCCUUCGGGUUGUAAAGUACUUUCAGCGGGGAGGGAGGGAGUAAAGUUAAUACCUUUGCUCAUUGACGUUACCCGCAGAAGAAGCACCGGCUAACUCCGUGCCAGCAGCCGCGGUAAUACGGAGGGUGCAAGCGUUAAUCGGAAUUACUGGGCGUAAAGCGCACGCAGGCGGUUUGUUAAGUCAGAUGUGAAAUCCCCGGGCUCAACCUGGGAACUGCAUCUGAUACUGGCAAGCUUGAGUCUCGUAGAGGGGGGUAGAAUUCCAGGUGUAGCGGUGAAAUGCGUAGAGAUCUGGAGGAAUACCGGUGGCGAAGGCGGCCACCUGGACGAAGACUGACGCUCAGGUG